RNAcentral lists this ribosomal RNA (474 nucleotides) under Ophionellus sp. BF000893. RNAcentral describes it as "eukaryotic LSU rRNA". The record is from RNAcentral. Lineage: Eukaryota; Metazoa; Arthropoda; Insecta; Hymenoptera; Ichneumonidae.
CCUGAGAAACCCAAAAGAUCGAAUGGGGAGAUUCAUCGUCAGCGAUCUUUGUACUUGCGCGGUUCGUGAUGUUUCGCGACUCCGGUUUCGUGACACACGUCCGUGUUAUUCGUACGAGGUAUCGUCGGCGUGCACUUCUUCCCUAGUAGGACGUCGCGACCCGUUGGGUGUCGGUCUACAGCCUGGAUUGGCGCCUGUCAUGUGCAACGCUCAACGGCGUGUCAUGUGACAGACCUCCGGUUGCUCGACCAGCUGCCCGGCGGUAYUCGCACGGUAUUAAGCCGCAAAAAAUUGAAUUGCGUCCGGCCCGCCGCAAGCUUGGCCAGUAUUUCGGAUGUUUACGGACUUUGCGCCGUCGCCGGACCUGGUCGGCUGUUGGUUGGCGGUGUCCUGGGACUGGCUUUGCAAUUAAUAAAAUACCGGUCAGCGACGCUACUGCUUUGGGUACUUUCAGGACCCGUCUUGAAACACGGA